GGUACUAUUGUAACUCUGUUUUAAGAUGAGGAAACUAACAUCCCGCUGGCCCCACAGUUAGGAAGGGGCGAAGCUCAAGCUGUCUGGUACCAGUGUCCAUGCUUAUAAUCACCGUGUUGUAAUUUUCUUACUCAUGCCUUGCACAUGGUAGGAACCAAAGAAAUAUCUUCAAGUCUACUCUAACCUUUCUGACCAAAUCAGAGAGCAGUGAUCACACAUUCCCAGAAAAGCACCUUUUACCUAUUCUUUGAUCAAAACAAUUGACUCCUUUGCAGACAGGCUAAAAGUCCAACCCGGCCUGGUACGAAGGAACCAAACUAGUAAUUUUUUUAUUUUUUUACUGUCAAGAGACUAGGUCCCCUAGGACCAGUGACUCUAUAAUAAUAAAUAUCUUAGAGUGUGAAGAGGUUGCCUUUUUUUGAAGGUCCCUUUGGACUCCACAGAUUCUCUCAGAGAGAUAUCAUUUGGGGGAAAAUUAACUGUUUUGGAUCAGCUGAAGGACAAUCUGGAUUCUAGUCCCAACCCCAGAACUUCCUACCCAAUGACCUCUUUGAGUGUGUUUCACCUCUUUGAACAUCUACACCUUCAUUGAUAAAUGGGAAUGUGAUGAUCUCACAGGACUGUAAUGAGGAUCCAGCAACUGUAGGUAAAAGCUUUUUGUAAAUGAACUAGUAACCUUCAUGCAAGAACAAAUUUAAAACUGCUCAAGUUCAUGGGACUUCCUUGGAGGUCCAGUGAUUAAGACUCCACCCUUCCAAUGUAGUGGGUGCAGGCUCUGUUCUGCUGGGGAACUAAGAUCUCACAUGCUGUUUGGCUUGGCCAAAAAAAAAAAAAAAAAAUUUUCUUUUAAAGUGCUCAAGUUCAGAGUUUGUCCUUUUUAAAGUAACAAUAAUCCCCAGAAAAUUCUCCUCCCUGGCCUCUGGGUACAAAGAUAACUAUACUAUACUAUGCUAUGAUAGAUAACUAUCUUAGAUCUCUUCUCCUUAUUUCUAGAGCCUCCACAAGCUGAAGCAGUUUUCAAAUUUUGAGGCCCCUCACCUUGAAUCAGUCUUCUCCCUCAGAUAUAGCUAGUUAUUAGGGAUACCUAAAUGUCA
RNAcentral lists this long non-coding RNA (1094 nucleotides) under Capra hircus (goat). RNAcentral's name for it is "lncRNA (ENSCHIG00010021119.1)". Lineage: Eukaryota; Metazoa; Chordata; Mammalia; Artiodactyla; Bovidae. The record is from RNAcentral.